This 1323-nucleotide long non-coding RNA is filed under the name Bos indicus x Bos taurus (hybrid cattle). RNAcentral describes it as "lncRNA (ENSBIXG00000000222.1)". The record is from RNAcentral. Lineage: Eukaryota; Metazoa; Chordata; Mammalia; Artiodactyla; Bovidae.
AUAGUUUUUCAAACAGUUUGCUCAUGCAGGAGGGUUUGCACAGCAGUGACCAUCCUGAAAUCAGAAGCAAUGUGGUUUAAGGUCCUUCAAAUCCAGAUCAUGGAUAAUGUUUUUCUCCUUUCUCCCAUUUCCCCAGGCUGUGCAGUUUAUACGGCUCGGGAUUUCUAGUUAUCGAGGAUCCAGUCCUAUGUGGAUGAGGUCGUUAACUGAGCCCCUGGAAUUAUUCUUGCUUCAGGAUGAAAGGAACUGGACUUCUCAAGUAGAAGCACAGGAAAGAAGUGACUGGAGACACGCCUGAAUACACUUGGGACUCAGCCUUCAUAUCUGUCCAUGUCAAGAUAUGUCCAUGACGGGAAUGAUCUCCCUAGAUGUCACACUUUUGUGCAGUGUACAACCACAGCAUCCUUCCAUGGUGGGCCUGAAAAUGGUCCUCAUGAAUCUCUCAGCUAUGAUUCAUGAUAGACAUUUUAUGGAAGAAAUGCCUUAAGAUGAAUGUAGAACCAGGGAAAGGCAUGAGAAAUUCUUUUUUUCAUGCUGCUGCUGUGCUAUUAUCAUCUAUAAGGUUAUUUUCUUUCUUCUCCACUAGAGAAUGAUAUACUCUUGUUUCCACUUACUCUAUUUUAUCUCCCUAGACCGAGGGCCUGGAGCUGUGCCAGCUCAUAAAUCCACUGAAUGAAAGAAAUUCAUGAAUCAUGAUAGAAAAAAUCAGGUUAAAAUAGUUACUUUGAAUGAAUACCAGGUGCUCUUUCUGACAAAAGUAUAUUUCCAUAGCUCCUACUCCACCUCUGUCCUAACCAGCAAAACACUAAAGCCUUGGUCGGUCUUUCAAGAGAACCUUAAGAAGCUAGGAAUCACAGAGUUGUCUCUGUAAGAGGAAAUGCCCUCUUCUUAAGUGACCACUUUAGAGGAUCCUUAAGUGGUUUCCAGUAAUAGAAGACAACGUUCACAGUUAAAUACAAGUCUCCAAAAUUGAUGGGUUGCUUCCGGGUAUAUUUGUUCGCCUGGAAGCAGUUUCACCAUAGUGGUUUGCAUUUCUAAUUGUUUAAUGGGGACUGUGUCCUUUAGAUCCAAAUGAAAAACUAGAAAAUAUCCAGGUCAUGUUGUUGGGCUUAGUGAAUGCAUAAUUAGGAUGUAAAUCAGCAUUUUAGAGCUGAUGACAGGUUUUUCUAGACAGGCAUGAUUAGAAGGCAUGAGGAAUUUGGAAUGCUUCCUUUUUGGCAAUACGAUUAUUUUUCUUUGGUUUGCCCUGCUCCCUGCCUACAUCCAAAUGUACAACUUCAUAUAGUCAAUAAAUAAAUAUUAUUUAUCUUACCUGCUUUCUGA